GACGAACGCUGGCGGCGUGCUUAACACAUGCAAGUCGAACGGAAAGGCCCUGCUUUUGUGGGGUGCUCGAGUGGCGAACGGGUGAGUAACACGUGAGUAACCUGCCCUUGACUUUGGGAUAACUUCCGGAAACUGGGGCUAAUACCGGAUACGAGCUCCUGCUGCAUGGUGGGGGUUGGAAAGUUUCGGCGGUUGGGGCUGGACUCGCGGCUUAUCAGCUUGUUGGUGGGGUAGUGGCUUACCAAGGCUUUGACGGGUAGCCGGCCUGAGAGGGUGACCGGACACAUUGGGACUGAGAUACGGCCCAGACUCCGACGGGAGGCAGCAGGGGGGAAUAUUGCACAAUGGGCGGAAGCCUGAGGCAGCAACGCCGCGUGCGGGAUGACGGCCUUCGGGUUGGAAACCGCUUUCGCCUGUGACGAAGCGUGAGUGACGGUAAUGGGUAAAGAAGCACCGGCUAACUAUGUG
Molecule: ribosomal RNA, 468 nt
Filed under: uncultured bacterium
Lineage: Bacteria
Description: partial 16S ribosomal RNA
Rfam family: Bacterial small subunit ribosomal RNA
Source: RNAcentral